AAUGAACGCUAGCGGUAGGCCUAACACAUGCAAGUUGAACGCAUACUUUUACAGUAUAAGUAGCAUACGGGUGAGUCACGCGUGAGAUAUCUACCUUACAAUCUGGGAUAAAAUCCCGGAUUCUUUCUAAACUAGAUGUUCCGACAAAUAGUAUAGAAUAAAAGAUUAAAUGUCGUUGUAAGAUGUGCUCGCGUAGGAUUAGGUAGUUGGUGAGGUAAAAGCUACACCAAGCCGAAGAUCCUUAGCUGGUCUGAGAGGAUGAUCAGCCACACUGGGACUGAGACACGGCCCAGACGCUUUCGAGCGGGAGCAGUGAGGAAUUUUGGACAAUGGGCGAAAGCCUGAACGAGCCAUGUCGCAUGAGUGAAGAAGGCUCAAAUGGUUGUAAAGCUCUGAUUUGAUUGAAGAUUAUGACAUAAGCUCAAAAAAUAGUCCCGGCUAACUUCGUG
RNAcentral lists this ribosomal RNA (449 nucleotides) under uncultured bacterium. Its description in RNAcentral is "partial 16S ribosomal RNA". It matches the Rfam family "Bacterial small subunit ribosomal RNA", at positions 29 to 507 of the family's 1533-position model. The record is from RNAcentral.